Molecule: transfer RNA, 87 nt
Filed under: Escherichia coli
Lineage: Bacteria; Pseudomonadati; Pseudomonadota; Gammaproteobacteria; Enterobacterales; Enterobacteriaceae
Also listed under: 2 other names
Description: tRNA-Leu
Rfam family: tRNA
About the family: Transfer RNA (tRNA) molecules are approximately 80 nucleotides in length.
Source: RNAcentral
GCCCGGAUGGUGGAAUCGGUAGACACAAGGGAUUUAAAAUCCCUCGGCGUUCGCGCUGUGCGGGUUCAAUUCCCGCUCCGGGUACCA